GUUGUACGAGUUUAGACUCGUAGCAGAUAGCUCAGUAACACGUGGCCAAACUACCCUAUGGAUCCAGACAACCUCGGGAAACUGAGGCUAAUCUGGAAUACGACUCUCAUCCUGGAGUGGAGAGAGUCCGAAAUGCUCCGGCGCCAUAGGAUGUGGCUGCGGCCGAUUAGGUAGACGGUGGGGUAACGGCCCACCGUGCCAGUAAUCGGUACGGGUUGUGAGAGCAAGAGCCCGGAGACGGUAUCUGAGACAAGAUACCGGGCCCUACGGGGCGCAGCAGGCGCGAAACCUUUACACUGCACGCCAGUGCGAUAAGGGGACUCCAAGUGCGAGGGCAUAUAGUCCUCGCUUUUUGCGACCGUAAGGUGGUCGCGGAAUAAGUGCUGGGCAAGACCGGUGCCAGCCGCCGCGGUAAUACCGGCAGCACGAGUGAUGACCGCUGUUAUUGGGCCUAAAGCGUCCGUAGCUGGCCGCGCAAGUCUAUCGGGAAAUCUCUCCGCUUAACGGAGAGGCGUCCGGUGGAAACUGUGUGGCUUGGGACCGGAAGACCAGAGGGGUACGUCUGGGGUAGGAGUGAAAUCCCGUAAUCCUGGACGGACCACCGGUGGCGAAAGCGCCUCUGGAAGACGGAUCCGACGGUGAGGGACGAAAGCUCGGGUCACGAACCGGAUUAGAUACCCGGGUAGUCCGAGCUGUAAACGAUGUCUGCUAGGUGUGACACAGGCUACGAGCCUGUGUUGUGCCGUAGGGAAGCCGUGAAGCAGACCGCCUGGGAAGUACGUCCGCAAGGAUGAAACUUAAAGGAAUUGGCGGGGGAGCACUACAACCGGAGGAGCCUGCGGUUUAAUUG
Molecule: ribosomal RNA, 850 nt
Filed under: Natrialba magadii
Lineage: Archaea; Methanobacteriati; Methanobacteriota; Halobacteria; Halobacteriales; Natrialbaceae
Description: bacterial SSU rRNA
Rfam family: Archaeal small subunit ribosomal RNA
Source: RNAcentral